AUGAAGAUGGAAUCCCAUGGACAGUGUGUUCUGUUGGCCCUCCUGCUUGUGUCUAACGUUCUAAUCCGUGUACACGCUCAGGAGGGGGAGGAGGUGACUGAGACAUGGACAGGACGAGCCUGUAAGUGUGACUGUGAGGGGGCAGAAUCCCCAACCCAGUUCACCUCCCUCUCCCCCAGCCCACCACGUGUCAUGGAGUGCAUGCCAGGUAAAGACCAAGCCUUCUGUCUCUCUGUCUCUGUCUGUCUCUGUCUCUCUCUGUCUCUCUGUCUGUCUCUGUCUCUGUCUGUCUCUGUCUGUCUCUGUCUCUCUGUCUGUCUCUGUCUCUGUCUCUGUCUGUCUCUGUCUGUCUCUGUCUAUGUCUCUGUCUAUGUCUCUGUCUCUCUCUCUGUGUCUCUGUCUCUCUCUCUCUGUCUCUGUCUCUGUCUCUCUCUCUCUCUCUCUCUCUCUCUCUCUGUCUCUGUCUCUGUCUGUCUUUGUCUGUCUCUGUCUAUGUGUGUCUCUAUCUCUCUCUCUCUGUCUAUGUGUGUCUCUGUCUCUGUCUAUGUUUGUCUCUGUCUCUGUCUCUCUCUGUCUCUGUCUAUGUGGGUCUCUGUCUAUGUGUGUCUCUAUCUCUCUCUGUCUAUGUGUGUCUCUAUCUCUCUCUCUCGCUGUCUAUGUGUGUCUCUCUCUCUGUCUCUGUCUCUGUUUCUCUCUGUCUCUGUCUAUGUGUGUCUCUAUCUCUCUCUCUCUCUGUCUAUGUGUGUCUCUAUCUCUCUCUGUCUCUGUCUAUGUGUGUCUCUAUCUCUCUCUGUCUAUGUGUGUCUCUCUCUCUGUCUCUGUCUCUGUUUCUCUCUGUCUCUGUCUAUGUGUGUCUCUGUCUGUGUGUCUCUGUCUAUGUGUGUCUCUGUCUCUGUCUGUCUCUGUCUAUGUGUGUCUCUGUCUCUGUCUGUCUCUGUCUAUGUGUGUCUCUGUCUCUGUCUGUCUCUGUCUAUGUGUGUCUCUGUCUCUGUCUGUCUCUGUCUAUGUGUGUCUCUGUCUCUCUAUCUCUCAUUCUCUCUCUAUCUCUCAUUCUGUCUCUCUCUGUCUCUGGCUAUCUCUCUCUCUGUCUAUCUCUCUGUUUCUCUCUCUCUUUCUAUCUCUCUGUUUCUCUCUCUCUUUCUCUCUAUGUCUCUCUCAAUUCAAGUCAAUUCAAUACAAGGAGCUUUAUUGGCAUUGGAAACAUAUGUUAACAUUGCCGAAGCAAGUGAAGUAGAUAUUAUACAAAAGUGAAAUAAACAAUAAAAAUGAACAGUAAACAUUACACUCACAGAAGUUCCAAAAGAAUAAAGACCUUUCAAAUGUCAUAGUAUGUUUAUAUACAGUGUUAUAAUGAUGUACAAAUAGUUAAAGUACAAAAGGGAAAAUAAUAAUUAUAAAUCAACAUAAAUAUGGGUUGUAUUUACAUUGGUGUUUGUUCUUCACUGGUUGCCCUUUUCUUGUGGCAACAGGUCACAAAUCUUGCUGCUGUGAUUCCACACUGUGGUAUUUCACCCAGUAGAUGUGGGAGUUUAUCAAAAUCGGG
Molecule: long non-coding RNA, 1543 nt
Filed under: Oncorhynchus kisutch (coho salmon)
Lineage: Eukaryota; Metazoa; Chordata; Actinopteri; Salmoniformes; Salmonidae
Description: lncRNA (ENSOKIG00005031555.1)
Source: RNAcentral